GCAGUACCCCAAGAUUACAAAUAUAGAGAAAUGCAAAUACCGAAAAUAUAAAGACAUUGUCGCUUUCUUAUAUGGCUGUGACCAUGACUAGUUAGUCAUGGACUGGUGCCUCAAGAGGUUGGACUCCCAUAGGAAUAUAGCUUGUGAUUUAAUCUGUAACAGGUUGUUUCUCUUAUAAGGUAUGACAUUAUAAGCAAUGCUCACAUCCCUCAAUAUAUCUCUGCUGAUAAUUUCUGGGGGGCUAAGGGUGAAGAAGUUUCAUUUCAUUUAUUGAUUACUAUGAUUAGAAGUAGAUAUUUUCAUAACAUGAAGUAUCCAAUUUAAUAUCAGAAACAUGCUAAUAGAGAGAAAAAUGAUACCAAACAGAUAAAAAUAACUUAAUAGAGAGAGAAAAUUCAUUUAAGAUAUCAGGUACCUCUACAACAUUAGUUUUGCGAAGCAGCAACUCUGAAUCUCUAGCCUUAAGUUUGACCAUGCAUUCUGAAUUGCAAGGAAGUAUACCAAGUCCAAAUCGAUUCUUAGAAACAUCCUUUGGAUUAUUUCCGUUAGUAUGAUAUGCAUUUUGAACAUCUUGGCAUCGCCAUUCUUUUUUCAGGUUCUGACAAGCACAACGAACAGUAACCUUCAAACAUAGUAACAUACAUGAACAUUUGUUAGCAACUAUAAAAAAACAUAGAAAAAAAAACAGGACAGAUCAUGUGAUUAAAUUGAAACAGGAUGUAUUACCUAUUAGAAUAAAAUGCAUUACCUUUUUAUUACAAGUAUCAAUUGAUGGGCAUUGACCAGGAUGGCAUAUCUCUGGGCAAAGAUGAGGACAAUUCAGCAACUUUCUGAAGUUUACAAAGCACAAGAAAUUCAUAAGUAAUGUAAUAAUAAAAGUGGGACCGAAAUGAUAUGAUACAAUAUAAAAAUAGAUAAAGGAACCAAGAAAAUUAUGUCAUCCUGUUAAAGCAUAUAUAAUCAUGAUAUAAAUAUAUAAUGUGUGUGAAUGUUGUUGAUUAUAUGUUAUCUUAUUUCCAGGUGUACAAGUCAAUGAUACGGACGCUUCAUGGCCAGUUCUUAAUCGAUACAUUAGCUUUAUAGUUAGUGGGCUGAGUCCAGUAAGAGCUUGUAACAUUUAGUAUAUAAAUUAAAUCCUGGAAAUAAUAAAUCAAUCGAAUCAUUUGAGGAUUUUUCCGCGAUUUCCUUUCUCUUUUCGAUGUUCACCAUCGACUGUCUCAAUCGCUGGUCGGAAUCUUAUCUGUGACAUGACACUAAAACUUAAAAUAUAAAUCUGAAUAAAAUUGUAACAAAUGUUACCUGUGACAUGGCCCUCUGCAGGUACGAACAUUUUGUUGUUCAUCGUCAGACAAGCUGUUGAAAUACAUGCACUCAAAAACAUGUACCAUUGCACCACAAUGACAUGAUCGUUUGAUAAGCAUUUUACAAGGAGGACAAUCAUUUAUAUGACAUGGUAGAGAGCAAGGAUGCUUGCAAGUCAGUUCACGCUCCUGCGAAGUGCAAUUUAAUUAUAACAGUAAAAACACACAAAAAACAAGCGAUAACUCCGGAAACAAACGAACAAAUAUGGAAAUAAAAAGUUGAGAAAAGAUGAGAAAUUAAGAAUGCAAAGGACAACCUUCUGGCAUGGAAGCAAACAUUCUUCACAGGACUGGGCAAGAAGAUCAUCUACACCCUUCUGCUUCAAAACAUGACAAUCUUUUGUGCAGUAAUGAUUACCACAUUGAAGAAUAUUUCCACAUAAGUUAGGGCAUAAAAAUCUCCUUUUAUCUGAGCAAAGCAUCUACGAACAAGCACAAAUAUAUGUUUCAAAAUAGAAUAAUCUAAAUAAACCCUUCCAGAAUAUAUGAGAACUUCUGAAAAGAAGAGGAAGCAUGAUAAACUAAUAAUAGAAUAAAUAAAAGUAAAAACAUACCGAUUGUUCCCCUCCAAUGUGGUUACCAAGGCAUGAUUUCACAACUAUUUCUUGACAAGGUACGCAUGGUGUUCCAGGUUUAUUCUCAUUUCGCCAUUGUGUUUUCUUCUUCUUCUUCGGCUUUAAUGUAAAUUCUGGGUUAGCUGGAGGCACAGGUCCGUGGCACCUACAUGUACAAGAAGAGAUUUCUAGUAAUAAAAUUUUGGAUGAAUUACAGUAUAUGUGCAUCCAUAGUCUCCGACUCAUUCAAAUAGUAGAUAUUUAAGUAUUUGUAAACUAACCUUUGUUUACAAAUGUGAUCACAAGAAAGUUGUUCUUUGCAGAUCAUUCGACAAGGUGGGCAAGCUCCAUAAUGGCAUUUAUGUUUCUGGCGAAGAACAACAAAGUAACAAACUAGAAAUGUAAGAAACUAUAAGUUUCCUAAACUAACAUAUAUGACAAUCACCCUCUUAACCAAUCCAGAGCUUUUAGUAGUUUCAAUAUAAUAAGAGAGAGUAAACAUAAAAUCGAAUCAAAAUACCCUGGAAACUGAACUGUGCCUACAGAGCCGAGAUACUUGGCAAGGUCUAGGACAUUUUGGAGGUUUUUGGUCCUUUUCAACUCCACAGGGUACCUAUAAAUUAUAGCACAAAAAUAAUUUUCUUUCACUGUAUUUAAUAAUCCAACUAUGGAAAUUAAAUUUGAUGCAACUGUCAGAAUUAAUAAAAUUUAUUCACUCCUUUAAUGACGUAAUGUGGAGUUCGUCUACUAAAGCCCAUCCACAACAUCCAAUUUAUGAUACUUUGCUAUCAAUUUCUGGUAGUAAAAAUGUUUUUUCCUAUGUGUUAAAACUUCAAACUUCAAAAAGGAACAUAAUUUAAUAUAAAGUGAAAAAUUGAAGUCUUGCAGAACUAAGUAAUUUACAAUAUUUCUUCAUGUGCAAAUAUAAAAUAAAAAUCCAUUCAUCCUUCAUGUGCAAGUGAUUUUCUCCACAGAAAAAAAAUAAAAACAAACAGAAAAAAUGGAGUGUACCUCAAAAUGUGUUUCGCCACAAAAACAGGAAAUAGUGACCAUCAAUGGGCAUGGAGAACAAGUACCUCUGAAAAGAAAACCUUGUUAUCAAAGAAAGUAAGUCAUGCACUCAUUUGAUUGACUAUCUAAAUGAGCAAUAAGCAAAAAUAAUUACUAUAUGCAGAUGCAACGUUUAUUUAAAAAUUAAAAGUUUUUACAAGUAAAAAAAUGAGUUGUACAGAUUUUAUUUCACAUACUUUGAUUUAACACUACAAUGGGAUUAUGUGAUUACAAAGAAUUUUAUUCAUCAAGAGCUGGUAUCUGUGAUUAAUAAAACUAUUAGAGUGGAAUCAAUUACCUGUGGCAUGGAGAAGGACAUUUGUGAUUAUUGCACCGAAGUUUUCUGCCACAUAUCUGAACCGUGAAAAUGUUAAGGCUAUUUAAAAAAAAUCAAAUAUAAUGGUAGAUGGUUAAGAGAUUCACCUCUGGGCAAGGUGGGCAAUUACCAUCACAGCAGCGCCGCUUGCAUGCAUGACGACCACAAUCUCGUAACCUUUGGCAUUUUCUUUCACAGCUUAAAUCUUGAUGACAAGGAAUCUAGUAUGAAUAUUGAUUUAAUUACAGAGCAGUAACUAUCAAUUACCUUUUAAGUUUGAACUUUGAAAAACAACAGUUGAAAUAUUAAGACGGCAUUUAAAUCCAAUAUCCUCGGAAAAAAGAGCAUUGUGAUGGAAAAUACAUAUUUUUAAAUAAUAACUAGAAAUCACCUCCUUCUUUAAACUCCCACAUCUACAAAACUUCAACUUGAUAAUUCUGCAAGUUUCAGCACAUUUCCCACGGUGACACCGUUCUGGACACCUAUGAAGAUUGCAGCUUAGCUUCUUUUCACAUGUUGACCCACAUGUUGGUACUAUAGCAUCACAUGUCAUGCCAUGGUAGAACUUCUUCCCGCAAGGGCAAGUUCUCUUCCCUUUCAGUGGACAAUCCCCACAACUUCCAGGAUGACAACCCCUUUCGCAAGGAUGUUUCCCGCAAUUAAGUAUCCCAUUGCAACUUGUCUCACAAUGGAAUUCAUGUUCAAAACACUCCCUGACUUCCUCCAAUCUCCCACACAAACACUUAUACACACUUUUCACUCUGCAAGGAGGGCAAAUACCCUCAUGACAUUUCUCUGGACACUUAUGUAGCCCACAAGCCGACAACCUACAACAUUGUUUGUUACAAGAAAAUGCCUUGAGAGCACAUCGCCGGACAUCUUUUGUUGACCCACAAAAACACUGAGAUGACACAAACUUGGGACAGGGUGGGCAGGGACCAGGAUGGCAAAGUAAUAGACAUUCAUGCCCGCAUGAUCCACGCAAUGACCGACCACAAAUCUCACCACAAGAAUGAGGAAGAAUCCAUGGAUCGGGAGGUGGGCUCUCAACCUUCCCACAGAAACAAAGGUACUCUCGAGGAAUCAAAUCCUUAGCAUAGUUCAACCUAUUAAGAUCAAUCCCACAAUCCACAAAAAAAAAUCAGUCAAGUCUUUCAAGUAUUCAAACUUCAUUUACUAUAUAUGGUAUGUGAGUGACAUGGUUUUAAAUUCCAAUGAUUUAAUUUUGAAUGAAAAUCCAAAUUCCAAAAUAGUUUAACAGUAAUAGUAUGAGUGUAAACAAAAACACAAUAAAUAAAAAAGAGAUUUAGUUUUCAAAUCAACCCAAAAUUUGAGAAUUGCAAAACCUGAAAAAACUGAUAAAAAUCCAAAUAUGACCUGCACUUUGGGCAAUGCCAAUUGUUAGAGGAUGAUGACGAUGCAGAAGAAACAGAAGAAGAUGGGAGGAUCGAAGAACACUGCUGUGCCCAGGACUGGAUGCACACAAGAUGGAAGAGCACAUAACAUCCAGAUGAGCACGACCAGACGGGAUCCGAAAUCCGGAUGCGUUCAAGACAAAUAAGGCAUGCUGAGAACUGCCCUCGAUUCGAGCAUCCUGCGAGGAAAGAUCUGAUUUUGGAAAGAUCUGCAUCUAGAGCUCCACCUCCAGAUACAUGGAGAUAAGUAGAGAAGACGGAAUUCUCUAGAGCAGAUGAGGGUUGGGAUUGAGACUCUGAUUCGGAGUCACCUCCACUGGCGCUACUUUCAUCCGAUUCAGAGAAAACCGUUGCUGUAAUGGUAUCUAGUGGAGGUUUCAAAGGGGGGAAGUGUCUAGAUCCGCCGGCGGCUGCGGCGUAGGAAGUAGCAGUAGGCAUCUCUUUUUUUACAAGAAUCAAUCGUAGACUCCGGCGAUCUCGUCGGAUUUAUGUUUAGUGCAUUUUGCAUCUAAUCCCUCCUGUUUUUUGAAAUUAAUUAUAAACUGUAAAUACUAAUUCUCUGGAGCACAUCUUCACCAUACUCCCACCACCACCCCUACGUUUGCACACAACUGUCGACUUAAUUGAUUGAUGGCAAAUUCGACCCUUAUCUUCUUUCGAGAAGGAGGGGAAGGAGGAUGAUCAACGGACUAUGGUUGUGUAAAAGUGUCGGACCCUCGGAUAGGUGGACACGAGCACAUGACGGGCGGAAGCAUAUCCCAAUCUCUUUGAAAGGUUUAUGAAACUGAGAUGAGAGGAAGAGGUGUAUGAAAACCUGAGGUUAGACGUGUAGACGAGUUUUUAGAGAGUGUAUGAUCUAGUUGUCUUUUUUUUAUAUUAUAAGUUGUAUUACUUGUAACCUUCAAAAAGAAAUUUACCACGAUUGUCACAUGAUGUAUAUAUAUUUAUAUUUUUUUGAAUAUAUAUUUACCACGAUUUUAUUUAAAAAAGAAAUUAAAAAAAAAACGUACACAAAGAGACUUGCUUGAACGGAUCUUGAGUCCUCAGAAACAUUAAUAGUUAAUAUAACCAGUUAAGACUUAAUCUUCCUAUCUAUCAUACUCUAUCAUAGAAACAUUGUAGCAUUAAAAAUUUGCCUAAUAUUUUUAGAUAGACUGAGACUUAAUUAGGUCAGUUGAGAUUUAACCAGUAUGCAUCAAUGUAUUAUCACUGAUAUAUUUCUAUAUUUACGAAUACGAUUAACCAACAGCUAAUUAAGUCGAUCGAGUAUGGAGGUCACGGAUAUCAAUAUAUUGUCACAGAUUUAUUGUUAUAUUUCUGAUUUAGGAUGUCAUUAAAAAAAUCAGUCUUUCUUUUGAUCCAGAGUUUUACAAAAAAAGUUGUCGUCACUUUGUCACCCUUGGAGACGACUUUUACGAUGAAAGUAUAGAAGAUCAAUCUCUUGAGACAGCGUAUCUAGUUAUUUUAUAACUAUACUACAUAACUAAUAGAAGAUCGAGAUCGUGAAUAGGUUUCUUGUUUAUUUAUUUUUACUUUUUAUUCUUUAUUUUGUAAUUUGAACAUUUUUUUUUUAAUGAAAUUUAAUUACUUUAAAAAAAAAAAACAGCUUUGUUGAGGAACUAAUUAUAAUUAAAGAUCUGAUUAACUCAGCCAACCUUAACCCAAACCCUAGCUAAAAUUGCUUAUGCAUACAAACAAGAGGAUAAAUUAAAAACAAUAACAUAGAGAGAGCUAGGGAUUUUUAUUUAGGAUGUUUCAUGAAUCAUGAGAUAGGUAUAUGUCUUCCACAAAUUAAAGCUUAUAUAACAACAAUAUUUAGAGAUAUAGUUCAAGUAAUAUCAAAUCUCAUUAAAAGCUUUACUGAUGCCAACUUAUCCCCGUUGCGAUCUAAAAGAGGAACCGCUCUAAUCCCAUUCUUCAACUCCGACACCGGAAAAGAAACUUGGCCAGCAAAAUCAUCCUUGCCCACCUCAGAAUCACUGACUUCAAUACUAAGAACUGCAAGUUCAGGAACAGUUAAUGGGAAACUAAAUUCCUCUUUCCAAACAGGCGUCCAAGAGUCCUCUACUUUCUUUGUUUUGAAUGUUACUGCAUCACUUGGGGCUCCGAAAACUCCAAUCUAUAUAUAUAUAUAUUCAUACAAAUCAGUAAAUAGAAUUGUCAUUAAAAAAGAUAAACCCUAGCUAAUUUUAACUGACCUCAACAUAAAAGUCUGGAGGAGAACAUAUGUCGAAAUAAGAUUUUGUGAAAUCAGAUCUCCAUCCAUGUCCUGUGUAAAUCUUCACCUGUGUAUAUAUACAUUAAUUAGCACCAUCACUUGAUAUAUAUAUAUUAAAUCUUCAUUUGGCUUUUCUACCUUUAACGUCUUCUUCACUGGUAGCGGUACUAAAGUUGAUUGGGGAUGGAGAUGAUUGUGCAAUAAGAAGUUUGGUUUUUUGACAUAACCACAACCUCCAUUGGCCAAGAAGAAACCAUGCAUAAGCCAGAGAAACCUUCCAUCUCCUUGCAUAUUGAAAGCAACCAUUUGGGCUCCAUUUAUCCACCCCGGAAAUGGGUCGUAAUUUGACGAGUCGAUACGUAAACCUUUCGGAUACACUCUGAUGAUAUUGUUAAGGGAAAACCUUGCCAAGUCAGGUGCAUAAGAUUCCGAAGCUUCUUGAAGAUCCGAUUCUUCUAGGUUAAGCUGGCUUACAUUAUUAGAAUCGAUGGCGCUUAAAGUUUCUUUUAGAAGACCAUCCUUUGGCUUCCCAUCUUUAAUUGUGAUUAUGUUAUUGUAUUCAGAUGAUGUAUUAACAUCGGUCGGAGGUUCUGCUGAGACGAUAAUCCGAUUCAUCAACGAUUGGGGUGAUGGAAAUUCUUUCAUCGAAGAAAUCUUUGGGUAGAACAAUAAAUCUCCAAACGUUUGUUUAACCAUCUGUAAAGAAAAUAGGAAACGAUUUAUGUGAGAUCGAUAUUAUAUCAGAUAUCCUUAAUCUUGUCGUUAAUUUUAAAUUCAACGCUUCUUUUGAAAUAGUUAAAUAUAAACAGAAUAUGACACAAAUCGAUCUCAAUGUUUUAACCCUAGAUUUAGAAAAUCAACAUGUAUAUAAGAUCAAAAAAAUAUACCGUGGCUGCUUUGGCUUGAAGUUCAGGAGUGAGAUGGUUCUCAAAGUUUAGUACAACAGGAUAUGGAGAAGCAGAAAAUGCAUGUUCUUUAAUUGCCUCCAAGCAAUCGACGAAUUUCACUCGAGAAGUAAGCGUGCUAUACGUACAUCAAAAUUUUAAUUUUAAACCCUAAUUACUACUUAAGAUAAACCUCAAUGAAUUUCGAAGCUAGAUAAUAUAUCAACGACUUACUUGCCAUGGUAAACCUCUAUAUCAUCAUCAGAGGAAUUGGGCCAAAUAUCUAGCUCAAUAACUCUAACACCUUUUUGAAGAGCUUUUAUGAUCGGGUCGACACCACUUUCACUGGUGAGUUGAUUCCCAGACAAGUAGGAGUUAUGUCCGGUGAACACAAAAUAAUGUGAGAGAGGAGCAUGCAUAUCAUCUUUAACCUACAUACCAUAUAUAUAUGAAUGUGUAAAAAUCCACUGAUUAAAAUCCCAUGCAUCUCAAUGGUGUUUCAAAACUCGAGAUAAAAAUAGACAGACAAAAUCAGAUAUCUCUAAGUUAUAUAUAACUAAAUUUUAAUUUAGAAAGAAAAGCGAACCUCAGAGGCCUUAAUGGGCGAAUUGAGCUCAACGUCGAAGAGAUAGCGAUGGAAGUCUUUCAACGAAAGUGGAUGCUUAAACUUAUGCUUAAAUAUAGUUUCCCCAAUCUUUCUAGCUUCUUCAUCUGUAUUUCCCUGCCGGUGGACCAAGAAGUCAUGGAGAUUCUUGGUGGACAUCUUUGUGGAACUGUAGUUAGCGAAAACCUCCUUCACGUCUGACGGUGGGUCGGCCUCUCCCAACCAAAACUCCUUAGUAAAUAAGAAAAGCAGACACAUCCUUCCCGGUUAGAAUAUGUGGAUUUAACGUUAGUCGUUGAACUUUCCGAUCAAAGUACUCCGGCCUCCCUCGUUCUUGUUGCAUCUCUGCUACUUGAGGUAGUUAUAUAUAUAUAUAGAUCUCUUAAUUAAUUAGAGAUGAUAUAAGAUAAGGUAGCUAGCUAGAUAUUCUUGCACGUUUUACACGACUAUACCUAUCAUUGGGUCCAUAUAUUUAACUUAAAGUCAAAGAGAUUGCGUAUAUAAUUGAACACAAAGAUUUAAUUUGACUUUUUCGUUUGUUGUCUUUUUCUAAACACAAUGAUUGAUGGGUAUUUUUCAACAAAAUUUAAAAAUGUCUACUAUCAGAUCGUAAUGUAAAUUUAAUCAAAGUUAUUUACUUUAAUUGUGACAAAUUGAGUUAAUAUUCGAAUUAUAAAUUGAAAGUCUUCAAUAAUAGGGAUAGUAAUAGUAAUUUACACUCAGAUCGAAUUUCUCAUAGCUAGCAGAUUUCAAGAAAAUUCGAAUUUCGUUAGAAUCUUCACGGAUUUGUAUUUAUUCCCUUGACGAUCUGAAAGCUGAACAGCUCGGAUUCCUGGCUUCAACUCCAACACUGGAAAACAAAUUUGGCCGCCGAAAUCAUCUCUUCCCACCCCAGAAUCUAGAACUAUGAAGCUAAGAAUAGCAAGUUCGGGAACGAUUAACGGAAAACUAAAUUCCUCGUCCCAAAUAGGGUUCCAGGAAUUUCUAACAUGCUUAGUGUUGAAUAUAAUUUCAUCACUUGGGGCUCCAGCAAUUCCUACCUGUAUUAAUGAAAAUAUAACAGAUGAUAUAUAUAUAUAUAUCACCCAAAAUUAAGUAAACAUUUUUUUAUCUUGUAAAAUAUAUGUAUCAUCGAUCUUUAGAAGAAGAAGAAAAAAUUACAAACCCUAAUUUAUUUAAUUCACCUCUAUGUAGAAGUCUGGUGGAGAAAAUGAGUCAAAAUGGUUUUUCUUGAAAUCAUCUUUCCAUCCAUCUCCCAGAUAAAUUUUGACCUGCAUUUAUACAGUAUAAUUAAGUAAUUGAAAAGAAGAAAUUUUCGCAACAAAGGGGUAGUGAUCAAUUAAACCUUCAAUGUCAUCUUUAUGGGGCGAAUUAUAUUUUCCUGCAAAUGAUAUAGAGGAUCGGAUACUAAGUAGUCGGGUUUUUUGACAUAACCAGAACCUCCAUUGGCCAAGAAGAAACCAUGCAUAAGCCAGAGAAACUUACUAUCUCCUUGCAUAUUGAAAGCAACCAUUUGGGCUCCAUUUACCCACCCAGGAAAUGGGUCGUAAUUCGACGAGCCGAUACGUAAACCUUUCGGAUACACUCUAAUGAUGUUCUUUUGUGAGAAUCUAACCAUGUCGGGAGCGUAUAAUUCCGAAGCUUCUUCAAGCAAAGAUUCACUGAUGUUAAGUUGUCCCACACCUUCAUCACAAAUAUCAGGGUUUUUGUCUAUCAAGGCUUCUUUUAGAAGCCCAUCCUUUGGUUUUCCGUCUUUAAUCGUGAUUACUUGGUUGUAUUUUCCAGAUUCUUCUUCUGUUCCUUCCUCUCGAUGCUCUGCGGAGACGAUGAUCCGAUUCAUCAAAGACUGAGGCGAUGGGAAUUCAUCCAUAGAAUUACAAUUUGGGUAGAAUAAUGAUUCUCCAAACGUCUCUUCGAUCAUCUGUAAAAUUAAACAGAGAACAUUGAAUGUGAUUAAAAUUAAACAUCAAAUGUAAAAAAAAGUGUGAAAACUCAUCUCAACCCUUUAUUUUAUACCUUCAGAUCAAUCUCAACCCUCUAUUUCAUACCUUUCUACAAUCAGAAUAUAUACUGUGUACCUGUGCAGUUUUGGCUUGAAGAUCUGGAGUAAGGUGGUUCUCUAAGUUGAGUACAACGGGAUACGGAGAAACGGAAAAAGCGUGCUCUUUAAUGGCUUCCAAACAAUCCUUGAGUUUGACAUGAGAUGUUAUUGUGCUGCAAAAAUUAUAAAAAAAAAGAAAAGAAAAGGUGAGAUAUUGAUCAGUCAAAACAUACUUUCGUCUACGGCUAACUGAUCUUACCUUCCAUGGUAAACAUCUAUGUCGUCAUCAGAAGAAUUAGCCCAAAUGUCCAAUUCAAUGACUCUAACUCCUCUUUGAAGAGCUUUUAUGAUCGGAUCAACACCACUGUUGCUGGUGAGUUGAUUUCCAGUCAAGUAGGAGUUAUGACCAGUGAACACAUAAUAAUGUGAUAGAGGAGCAUGCAUAUCAUCCCGGACCUAAACAAAAUACAGACACUACACGCUAAUUCAUCUACUGCAAUAGAAAUCAUCCCAAUCAAGAAUGCACCGUUAACCUAUAUAUACCUCUGAGGGUCUGAUAGGCGGAUUGAGCUCAACAUCGAAGAGAUAGUUUUGAAAGUGUUCUAACGAAAGACCAUUGGGUGAUAUAAUUCGCUCUAUGAUCUCUCUAGCUUCUUCCUCUGUGUGGCCUUGUUGGUCAACCAAGAAAGAGUGGAGAUCGUCGAUUGCGCCCAAAGCGGAAAACGACUCGUUCACGUCUGAGAGUGAGUCCAUGGCACCCCUGAGUGACCAAAAUCGAUGAUGGGUAGUUAGUUACUAGCUAGUUAGCUAGAUAGCUUCUUGUAUGCGGAGUGAGAUAAAGUUAGAUAUAGAUCUUGAUAAGAUCUAGCUAGAUGGGAUGAUAUUCAAUUAUUGAUGGAACUUUAAUUUAUGUUUGUUUGUUAGGUGUUAGAUCACUGUUUUACAGUUGGAAAAUUCAAUGUGUUGUCAUAGACGUCAUAUAUAGGCUCCAUCUGGACCAUACAAUUGAAGACACAAGUAGACUUGUAACUACUAUCCUAUUCCUGCAUAUGAGGAUAAUAUUGGGAUAAUAAAAUCCGAAUCUGAAUUCAAAUAAAUUUUUGGAUAUCUCAAAAAUUCAAAUUUGCUUAACUUUUUAUAAAAAAUUAUAAAAUCAUCAUCCAUAAUAAAGUCAAUUAAUAAUUAAUUAAUCUCGUUAAAAUCUUAAAUAAUAAUAUUAUUAAUUUAUUAAAUUUAUAGAUAAUAAAUUAAUAAUAUUAUUAUAUAUUUAUCCGGACGGAUUCGAAUAUUUGGAUAUUCGUAUCCAAAAUUAUUAAACGAAUUGGAUUUUAACAAAGGAUAUUGAUGAUGUCCGAAUCCGUCCGAAUAAUUUUUGGAUAUUAAUUUUAAUAUUUGAAUAUGUAUCUAAAAUUCAGAUAUCCAAUUAUUGAUAUAUUUGAAUAGACAUAUUCGAAUUUGAAAACGGAUACGGAUUUCGAUAUACCAUUUGUAUAUAUGGAGCUCACCACAUCCUUCAAUUCAGGUGAUAUAUGUGGAGGUCAACAAGGGAGAGGAAGGCUUCAAAUAAACUUAAAGACUAUUGUUGCUUCUUUGUCAGUAGCAAGGGUACUUUCAAAGACACAUAUAUAUCCUGUGCAGGACUAAUGGAGAUAUAACAGACUUUCAACCUCCUACACUGAUUUCUUGAAAAAAGUGUCCCUAACUUCUGAACCAUCAUCUUAUAAUGAGGCUUAUAAGGAUCCUGAAUGGGCGAAGGCCACUUGAGCUAAAUGAAAUAGGGACCUUGUGUGACUGUGUCUAAACCAAUAGACAUGAAGGUGAUAUGGUCUAGAUGGGUAUUUAAUGUUAAACAUAAAUCUAAUGGAAUUGUUGAGAGGCUAAAAGCAAGGUUAGUUGCAAAAGGACACAAAGAUUUGAGGGAUUUAACUACAAGAAAAUUCUCUCCUUUGGUCAAAAUAGUGUCAGUCAGAACACUCAUUGCAGUUGCCUCAACUAAAAUAUGGGAAAUCUACCAAAUUGAUGUUAGUAAUGCAAUUAUAUGAUGAUUUGACAGAAAACAUUUUCAUGACCCCACCUCCUAGUAUGCUACCGGAUGGUGACGAUGUGGGUCUGUAAAUUUAAAAAAUAUCUAUAUGUCUUCAACAGGCCAACAAAAACUGUAUCAAAAAUUCACACCAUCUCUUACAACCUUUGGGUAUAAAUAAUCUUAUGCUCUGUUUUUCAAAACCACAUCCAACUCAUACACUUGUUUACUUAUAUAUAUAUAUAUACUCAUAUGCACGGUGAUCACCGUGCGGUACGUGCAUCUGAUGUCGUCCGAUGACAUCGGACGGUCCCGACCAUGGUACGGUGCCCUUCACCAUGGUCGGAAUACUGCGGUGAUGACGUCACGACACUACAAAAAAAAGGACCUUGUAUGGCGGCCUUUAGAUGGCGGAUUUCCGCCAUCAAUACUUCAAUAGUUUAGAUGGCGGAAAUCCGCCAUCUAUUCUUUCAGUCCGCCGAGGAAACGUUUUGGCUCGACGGCGGUUCGGAAUUUUUUUCGAUGGCGGUGUUUAGAUGGCGGAAAUCCGCCAUCUAAACUAUCCCGCCCAAAAUUUCGAAUCUCCCCCAAUUUCCAGCCCGAUUACCCGAUUAAAAUGACUUAAGAUGGCGGAAAUCCGCCAUCUUAAGUCAUCGGGGACUCGGGCGGAAAAAGCCCGCCCAAAUUUCGAUUGGGCGGACUUUCACUUAAGUGCUGGCGGCACUUAAGUGUACUUACAUGGCGGAUUUCCGCCAUGUAAGAUUUGGGGUUUAUUAAAAACCCCAAAUCCAGACAGAACGCGUUUGUUCUGUCUUGCUUUGGAGUGAAGUGCUGCCGCCGUUCUGUUCCCGUCGAUUCGUCCGUGCCGCCGUUCUGUUCCGACUCCGUCCGCCGUCGCCGACUCCGAUCUCGCCUCCGGUGGUGGCCGUUCUUGCUUUGGUCUGUCCGUUCUUCCUUUGGUCGGUCCCUUCUUGCUUUGGUGAGAUAUAUUACUUAUAUGUUUUAAUAUUUGUUUUAUAUUUUUGAUUUUGAUUUUGUUUUUUAGGGUAUCUUUGAUUGUUUUUGGGUAUCUUUGAUUGUUUAUCUUUGAUUGUAUUAAUAUAUUCCAUGUCCAUAUAUUUUUAAUCUUUGGGUAUUUCUAUUUUUAAUCUAUUCAAUGUAAUGUUUACAUUUUGAUCUAUUUACUGGAAUUAAUCGAUCUAUUCACCAUGUUUAGAUUUACUGGAAUUUAUACUGGAAUUAAUCAAUUUACAUUUUGAUCUAUUUAGAAUAUAUGUUUAAAUCGCUAAUGUUGAAUAUUGUAUUUGAAUAAAGGAUUUCGGUGAAGAAAUCGCCGCUGCUCUCCGCCUGUCUCCCCGCCGGUUCUCGACGUCUCUGUGAUCGCCCUCUCCGGUUCGAUCUGUGAAGGUAUGUGGAUUUCAAUUUUUCAUUUUUUUCAUUUUUUUCGUUUUUCAUUUGAUUUUUUGAUUUGUAAUUUCUUAAUGAUGGUUUGUGAAUGAUGGUUUGAUUUAAUUGGUUUGAAUAAUUGCUGUGAAUUUCAAUAAUGUUGAAUAGGUUUGUGAAUGAUUUAAUGGGUUUGUGAAUGGGUUUGUGAAUGAUGAAUGGGUUUGUGAAUGAUUGACAUUUCUAUUUUUAGUGGACUGCGAUACUUAUGUUGUAUUGAAAAGCGAGGAUCGAUGAACCAAAUAAUAGUUCUGGUCUUAUCUUCUGUUUAAACUUAGUUGUAGAUCAUCUUUUAAUCUUAGUGAAAUUUCAUCUCUCUAACAUCAUGAGUCCAAACAUAUACUAUAAAUAUACAAGCUUGUUUCAAGAUAUAGAUUGUGUGAUUGUAAUACAAAUUAUUUGAUAAUAACCCAUACAGAUUAGAAUAAAUUAAAAUUAAAUCAAAUACAAAUACAAAUACAAAUGUUAAACAUGCCUUGUGUAGCUGUGUUCCUAGGCAGUAAUUUCUUUGAGGAAUAUUGAGGAUUGUAAAUGGUUUAUCUAUAUUUGAGGAUUGAGGAUUGUAAAUGUAUUGAUUGAGGAUUGAGUAUUGUUAAUUUGGUUUUGGUUUGACUAUUUGGGUUUUGGUUUUUGUUUCUCAAUUUCCUAUUAUCUUUUUAUUUCUUUUCUAUGUAUCUCUUAUUUUGGUUUGUUGCUCGAAUUUUGUUUAUCUAUUUGUUGCUCGCAUGUUUAUGUUUAUUUGAAUGGUUUGAUGUUUUGAUUUCAAGGUGGUUUUGUUAUAGUUUAUGAUGAAGAUGCAUGUGUCUACUAUUUUAGUUUUGAUUUCAAUAUAUGAAUAAGAAUUUAUCAUGUUGUGUUUUUGAUAUUUAAGAAUUUCAAUGCAUGAUUUAAUAAUAAUUAUGAAAUGUGAAGAUUUUGUUUUAAUUUUAAUGAUUUAUUUAAUUUAAAUAAUAAGUGUUUCUAAUUUAAGUAAAUAAUUACUGAUUUUAGAUAAUGUAGAAAAUAAUGAAAUUAAAUAUUUUAUUUACUGUUUUUAAUUAAAUUUAUAAUAAAUAAAUAAAUAAAUAAUUAACUGUUUUUAAUAAAUUAAGUAAUUAAAUUAAUUAUUUUGUCUUACACUUGUAAUUAAUUAAUUUGCAUGUAAUUAUAAAUGUGUUAAUUAGUAAUUAUUAAAUUGAAUGUUUUUAAUGAUUUGUUAACUAAUAAUUAUAAAAUUGUAUCAAAAUAAUAUGUUAAUUAAAAUGUUAAUUAAAUAAUUAGAAAAAAUUUAAUUACUGUGUCUUAAUAAUUUAAAAUUAAAAUAAUUAGUUAUUAAAAUAAUUAAAAUAAUGUUUUGAAUUAAUUAAAUGACAUACUGUUUUUAAAUAAUUAAAUAAUGAAAGUUUUUCAUAUUUGAAAUUAAUCAAUUAUUUUACAAUUAUUUCAUGAAUUAAAAUAAUUAAAAUAAAUAUUUCAUAUUUUAAAUUAAAAUAAUUAAAUUUUUUAUUUAAUCAACUUAUUUGUAAAUUAAUUAAAUAAUUGUAAUUAAAUAUCAAUGUAAUUAAUAAUUUACAUGAAUCUAUAUCUUUAUUAAUUAGUUGCAUGAAAAAAAAUUGUUUUAAUUAUUUUAUGUUUUUAAAUUAUUUAAUAAAUAAUUAAAAUAUUAAAAUAAUUUUUGUUUUUAAAUAAUUUAAAAUUUAUAUAAAAUAUUUAAUGUGUUUUUGAUUUGUUAUAGGUUUUUUAAAAUCAAGAUUGAAGUAAGUUUUGGAUUGAAGAAAAGCUCAUUUGCGGUAAAAAUUAAAUAAUUUUAUUUAAUAAAUUUAUUAUCAAUUUAUUUAAUUUGUUGUUAAAAUAAAUUAUUAAAUUAUCAUUUUAAUUAUCAAAUGAAAUAAAAAUAAUUAGUAUUUUAUUAAUUGAUUGACAAUUAUUAAAUAUUAAUAUUUUAGUAAUAAAAUAUUUGCAUGAAAUAAUAUAUGAUCAUUUUAAAUAGAAAUAAUUUAAUUAAUUAUUAAAUUGAAAUAAUAAUGAUUAAUUUGUAUGAAAUUAUUAUUUUUUUAAAUAAUUAGUAAUUAUUAAAUUGAAAUGUUAAUGAUUAAUUAGCCUGAAAUUAAAAAUUUGUUAAUUAAUUAAUAAUUAUUAAAUUGAAAUGUUAAUGAAUAUAAUUUGCAUGAAAUAAUAGAAAUCAUAAUGAUUAGAAAUUAUUUAAUUAAUUAUUAAAUUGAAAUAAUAAUGAUUAAUUUGUAUGAAAUUAUUAUUUUUUUAAAUAAUUAGUAAUUAUUAAAUUGAAAUGUUAAUGAUUAAUUAGCCUGAAAUUAAAAAUUUGUUAAUUAAUUAAUAAUUAUUAAAUGAAAUGUUAAUGAAUAUAAUUUGCAUGAAAUUAUAGAAAUCAUAAUGAAUAAUUCCAUGAAAUGAUUAAUUAAUUAUUUGUUUAAUUUGUUUAAAAAAUAUUAAAUUAAUUAAUUUAAUAUUUUUUUAGAUUUUAAGAAAUGCCACGUAGAGUGAAGCAAUUACCUCGUAGGAGGGCUUUACCAUCCAAUCCCCAAGAUGCUUUCCGGUUUUAUCUCCCGGUUCAUCCAGCACCGGCUUAUCCCGCACCGUCGGAACCUGUUCGUCCAGCACCGGCCUAUCCCGCACCGUCGGAACCUGUUCGUCCAGCACCGGCCUAUCCCGCACCGCCGGCACCUGUUCGUCCAGCACCGGCCCCUCUAGUUCCGCAACCAGCAACUCCGAAGAAAGUCGUUUAUGAAACGGAUUCGGAAUAGUUCAAUAAUUAGCUAGAUUUUCCCAAAAAAAUUGAACUAUAACUAAUAUUGUAAUAGUCAAUUAAUUUUUAUCUAAUUAAUUAUAAUUCGAUAAAAAUUUUAAUUUUUAGGAUAAUGUCGAACGUUAUGAAAGUACCCGAUAAAGCUUGGAUGAGUUUAGAUCGGUUUUCGAAAGAAUACGGCGAAGGGUUAACAGCUUUUACUAAUUUCGCCAUUUCGAAUUCGACUCAUCCAGAAGGUUAUUUACCAUGUCCAUGCUCGUCCUGCACGAAUAGUGAAGUGAUUCCUAUAAAGGAGAUGAGGAAGCAUAUUUUCAUAAAUGGUUGGUUGAAACAUUACGAUGUUUGGACGCGUCACGGAGAGUUACCGAGUAGAUAUGGUGAGAAAAAAGUGAAACGAAAAGAAACAGUGCCGGAAACUGGUAACGAUAUGAUUGGAUUGGUUCGUGCGGUUUACGAAGAACAUGUAGUUGACAAUACAGUCGACGAAGAUUUUCUCGAAACAGAACCUCUCGAAUACGAACCAGUUCAGGAAGAUCCAGUCGAUGUAGAUCCAGUCGACGAAGAUCCAGAGCAGAGAUAUGACGAUUCGUUCUUACGCCGUCUAAAAGAAGGUGAAGAACAGUUAUAUCCAGGUUGCACUGAGUUUUCCAAACUAUCUUUUAUCUUGGAAUUGUAUCAGUUGAAAUGCGACAAUCAUUGGAGUGAUAAAAGUUUUCAGAAAUUACUAUCCAUCAUGCGUCGUGCUAUUCCAAAUGGGGAAUAUGUAGGCUGAAUAUGAUUUAAGUGGAAGCAAAGCUGCACAAACUUACAUCAAUGGCAGGCUGAACAAACUUUGGAGGAGCAACCAUAAUUCGCUGAUUAAAACUUAUGCCUCUGAUCCUGAUAUGACAGAACAAGACAUCUUAGCGACUCUUCCGCCGUAUGUCAGCAAACCUCAAUUUCUAAAUAAAUUGAGACAGCAUCGUUCGGAAAAAGGAAAGGUACGUAUAUGUAUAUAUAUAUAUUUAUUAUAUUAAUUAUUUUUGAAACUUAUUAUUUUUUUUAAUUUCAGCAAAUUUCCGAGAUAAACACCGCGAACCGAGCGAAUCAAAUGACACAUCACGCUGGUUCAAAAGGAUUAGCGCAAAGACGUCAUGAAUUGGUAAUUUUUUUUUAUUUUUUAUAUUUUUUUUAUAUAUUAAUGAUUUAUGUGAAUAUAGAUGCAACAAGGAAGGAGUGAAGUCGAAGCUUGGUCAGAGACUUUACAAAUGACUUAUAAAGGAAGCGAUAAAGUUGUAAGUAUUUUUUAAAAAUUAUUUAUAUUUUCUAAUUUCUAUUUUCAUUGUUUGAUUUUGUUAUUCUUUCAGCUUGAAGCCACGGAUUUUAUCAAAACUCCAGAGGCAAAAUCGUGGGCUGAAUCUGAAUCAAUGACUCCAAUUGUAAGUUCCAUUUAUUAUUUUAAUUAUAUUUUGUUUUUCUUAUUUUUUUUUUAUAACGCAGCAAUUUAUCGAAGCGACGGUCAACAAGACUUUCGGCAAAAGUAAGAAGAAUCGAAUAAUUGGAAUCGGAGAAGCUGCAAGUAUGGUGAGCACAACAAACGAAAGAUGGGCUGCUCCAAAUUGGAAAGGAAAAGAGCCGAUCUCAGAGAGCACGACUGUUGAAGCACCACCAGAUGCAGUAUGGUCGGAAAAAUUCAAAGCAUUGGAGGUAUUUACAAUAUAUUUUAAUAAUUUUGUUGAUUACCGAACUCAUUGUUGUUUUCAUUUUCAGAACAAGUGUAACGAGAGUCAAAAAGACGUCUCGAAAUACAAGAAAAAGUUCAAUGCUAUGAAAUCCUAUAUGAAGAAAUUGAACAAGACUUUGAAGACUUCUGGACUAGACAUGACGCAGAUGGUUUCUACUUCAAAGUCAACAAUACCGUCUGCAUUCGGAUCAGAUAAUUCUGAUUCUGAUUCAGAAGACUCGCUUUCAGACGAGUGUUGAUAAACAAUUUUUUUUUUCUUAUUAAAACUUCGAAUGUUUAACGAUUAUGUAAUUUAAUUUUUUUUUAAUAAAAAACAUCGAUUUCCAUUUCUAUUUCAAAUCGUUUCCUCAAAUAUCGCUUUUAUUUCGACAAACAACGAUUCGAACGCACAAUAUAGAAUCCUGAUUUAAAAAAAAAUUGUAAAAAACAUUGUAUGGCGGAUUUCCGCCAUCUAAAGCUGGGCACAAUCGCCCUCUCCCACGAAUAGAUGGCGGAUAUCCGCCAUCUAUAAACUAAGGGAACCGCCGGCUGUACUUUAGAUGGCGGAAAUCCGCCAUCUAAAGGUCCAGGGAUAGUCGGCGGACAUCCGCCGUCAAUGAAAUUAACCGCCAUCAAUGAAUUGGCGCCAAAUUAUUCCCGCGCCAUAUUUUAGAUGGCGGAUUUCCGCCAUCUAAAACUUUUCAAUUCGCGCCAAAAUUUUCAGUUUAGAUGGCGGAAAUCCGCCAUCUAAACUAUUUUUGGUGGGAAAUGGGGAUGGAUAAUAGAUGGCGGUCUUUAGAUGGCGGUUUACGGGUUUUAAUGGCGGUGUCCAAGAUGGCGGGCUUUAGAUGGCGGAUUUCCGCCGAGGAUCACUUUAGAUGGCGGAAAUCCGCCAUCUAAAGACCGCCAUACAAGGUCGGAUUUCUUGUAGUGCGAGAUCUGGUACAGUGUCGUCCGAUGACGUACCGUCGGUCGGUUAGAUUUGGUAUCAGCACUGUACGUACGUACCGCACGAACGGACCACGCGUAUAUACAUAUACACACCCAGUAUCAGGAAUAGUACGUCUGUUCCUGAUACGUGGUGCGGUACUUGUGGGACGACAUUACGUGAUGACUGCUCGUGAUGACGUCCCGCAUAUCAAUCCCAAAAUUGAUAUGUGAUGGUUUGGUAUAGAGUAUAUACGCGUGGUAUUACAAGACAAUCUAUUACAAGUGUAUUACAAAUGUUCUCCCCCUCCUUUACAUUCAACCCCUAGGGGUAUUUAUACACUUUCCUACUGGACCAGACCUUCUUUCACUGAUCAAGUGGGUCUGGUCUGAUGGACCAGAGGUAUCAUCAAUAUGAAAGUUAUGAAGGAAUGAGUGGAGGAACACAAGAUUAAGUUCUACAGUGGGGACGCCUAUGUCGCUGCCAUGAAUGAAGUGUGGAAAGAAAUCGGUGUAACGGAAGGCUGCGAAGAAGAAGGUCUGCAAAACAGAAUUCUCCGACAAGGCUGUGGGAAUCUGGACUUCAAGACCGAUUCCGUUGUAAGGAACAGCUCGAAGAAUCACUAUUGCGGCAGCUGCGACUACGGAUGUCGGAACGCGUGAUGUCCUCUGCGGAACUCGUGACUCACGAUGUCGGUGUCGCGGAAUCGCGGAUUCCGUGGUUCUGACAUCGCGAGUUCGGAAUUCCGGAUUCCGCGAUUUCAGAAUUUCGGAUUCGGUGGUUCUGGAUGCCGUUCGAUUCCGUGGUUCCGAAUUCCGACCAAUCGCGAGUGGCAUGCGGAACGCGGAAUCGCGAUUCCGUGCCAGUCGAUUGGAAUGAGAACGACAUCACGCGUGAGGUUCCGCACGUGAUGUCCUCUCUGUAACCGUGAUUCAGUCACCACGUACGAACGGUGGAGGAUCGCGACGAUUGGACGGUCGGAUGUGGUGUCCACACCACGUACCACAGUGAACGGGUACCAUUCUAAAAAUGCGCCCUAUAUAUAUAUAUGUGUUGAUGAUCUUAUUAUCUCAGGUGACAUUGACGAAAAUAUCAUUAAACUUAAAGAACACCUCAAUGCCCAUUUUCAUAAUAAAGAUCUAGAGAAUCUUAAAUAUUUUUCUGGGCAUAGAGGUAUCCCAAUCAAAACAAGGAAUUUUUAUUUCUCAAUGAAAGUAUGCCCUAGACAUAUUUCAUGAGUUUAAACAAUUAAGAAGUGCAUCAUCUUCUAUACGACUAUACCUAUGAUAAACAAUCCAUGCCAGUGUCAAAUGAAAAAUUUCUUACUGACCCAUCAAUGUUAGGAAACUGGUUGGAAAACUUCUGUAUCUAACUAUUACCAAACCAGACAUUGCUUAUCCAGUGAGUUACUUAAGCCAAUUUUUGACACUUUCGUCUGGGAUUAAAAAUCCUAAAAUAUUUUAAAAAUGCAUCAGGCAAAUACAUUCUUUAUAAAAGAAAUGUCUCACUUAUGUUGAAUGACCGACUGUCCCAUCACAAAAAAGUCAAUUACAAGUUUCAGCAUAUCAAGAGAGUAUAACUAGAGAAAUGAUCUCUCCUAUAUGUGAAAUAAUUUGACUCCAUUAUUCUUUUAAUGAUCUAUAGGUCAAACAAACAAGUAAUUUUGUGACAGCCAGACUUUUAUUCAUAUAGCAUCCAAUCCUGUAUUUUAUGAGUGCACCAAACACAUUGACUGUCAUUUGAUGUGAAAUCACUUACAAACAGGUUUAUUUCAAUUACAACAUGUGUCAUCCACAAAUCAAUUGGUCGAUAUACUUACAAAACCAACCAGCCUUGACAACUUCAGAAGAACUUUACCCAAGCAAGGAAUACAUGACAUACACUCUUAAGCUUAAGGGGGUAUGGUAUUGAAGUAACAUUAAGUUUAGUAUUUCUAUCAUUUACCCUUGGUCCAUUCUCAAGAGUCAAGGCCUAAUAGCUUAGUUAGUCAAACAAAAAAAAUGAGAAAACCCUGAUUCCCAAAAAUUGUGAUCUUCACGUCCGGCCUUUCAUUCGAUCUUGCGCACUCAUUCUCAACUCACACUCCGCACGCUCUCGACUCUCUGGCCAACGUUUUCAGACUCAACGACAGCGUCGAGAUCGUCGUUCCUGGAGGCCAAGAUCGGACCGUCGAAAUCAGUCGGAAUAGAUCGGUUUCUUCUGAUGAGCUUAUCGGGUCAAGUUCGAGUUUCAAGUUAGGUUGAUCGACAAGAAAGAAAAAAAUUAUAAUUUUGUAUAUCGAUAUUUAAAAAAAAAAUUAUUAAAACUUAAAAUACCUGCCACCCUCACAUAGUUACAGGCCUUAAUACUAUUAGAUUUUUGUUAUUGUGAAUUGUGAGUUUUCAUUUCAUUUUAAUUUAAUUAAUUAUCUGGUCUGAAUGUCCGAUCAUAGAUUCAGAAGUAAUUUUCCAAUUUGUCUCCAGAUCCAUGCCUGUUAUUUUGCAUGGGUCUGGACCUAUUUCGGAUCUAGAGAAUUGUAUUUGCAAGACGUAAAUCUAGAGAUUGUUUUUGUAAACUAGAUACGCCAUUGAAUCUAUUUGAUUUGUAAUUGGUUUAUCAAUUUCAAAUUUUAAUAUUUCUCAAUUUUGAUUGAGUCUAUUUGCUCUGGUAUUUGAUGCACAAGUCAACACAGUCCAAUUAAGUGAAACAACAAGAGUUUGACCUAGUUUUGAUGUCAAAAUGAGAGAUCAAGUAUAUCUCCAUCUAAACAAAUCAGGGUAUAACUUGAAUUAUUAUUUGAUUUUAUUAUAUCAAAAAAAAUCUUCUUUUUCAAAAACUAUAAUUUAUAAUCACAUAUGAGAAAAAAGUGAUAUAUCAGAAUUCACCUUGACAUGUCAAUAUAUAAUUCCAAGUCGGUAAGCACACGAUAGAACUCGAAAAUCUCAUGAACCAAGAAGCCUAUGAUUCGAGUUAUUCCCCCAUACCACAAAACUGUAACAACUUCAACAUAAUUCAAAUUUCAUGAGAAGCUUCACAGAUUUGUGUUGGUUACCUUCAAUGUCCGAAAUUGGAACAGAUCUGAUCCCUGGCCUUAGCUCUGAUACUGGAAAACAAGCAUGGCCACCAAACUCAUCUCUUUCAGCCGUAUCUUCCUCGUGCACUUCAAUAUGAACAACAGCUAGUUCUGGAACAGUUAACGGAAAACUAAAUUCUUCAUUCCAAGUAGGUGUCCAGCAAUUCUCCACCGUCUGUGUCUUCUCCAUUACUACAUCAGAUGGAACUCCGGCAAUUCCUACCUCUGCAUAGAAGUCCGGUAAAGAAAACGAAUCAAAGUCACUUUUUUCGAAAUCUAAUUGCCAUCCAGUUCCCUUAUAUAGUUUCACCUGCAAAACAGCAAUUCAAAACAAUCAGUAAUACAAAUGUGAAACCUACAAACAGAAUCAUUAUUUGAAGAGUUUGAAAGAAUAAUAAACCUUUAAUGUUGUCUUUACAGGUCGAGUUUCUUGUAUAUCGAACGGGUAAUUAUCAGAAUCAACAUCCAGUAAUAUGUCUGGUUUUUUUACAUAACCACAACCUCCAUUAGCCUUGAAGAAGCCUUGCAUCUGCCAAAGUGACUUUCCAAAUCCCUGACAAUGAAAGUUCAUAGUUUAACCAAUCAUUAACAGAUAACAAUACAUAUGAUUGAUGUGUGAUUCAAAGUAUGACAUCAGAUCAAUGGAAUUUUUUAUAUUCUUCAAACAGCAAAAAACUAACCUGCAUGUUGAAUGCAACCAUUUGUGCUCCAUGUGUCCAUCCAAUGAAAGGAUUAUAAUUUGACGAGAAGAUGCGAGCCCCUUUCGGAUAUACUCGGAUGAUAUUCUUUUGGGAAAAUCUACAAAGAGAUUUAUGAAACUAUUUAGAAUGAAGGAUUCUACAAAAGACACUAUGAAAAUUAUCAAGAUUUUAAAUGCACGAUUGCGUUGUGCGCCUCAUGCACCAGGAGUAUCUUGGUAAAUACUUAAAAAAUAUAAAUUUUAUAUAUUUAUAUGCUUAAUUCAGAUAUUUAUAUUCUAUUAUUUUUUGGUUUUUGACUUUUUUCCACCUCAAAACCAGAGGUUGCCAGAGGAAGGAGCACCGGAUUGGUGGAGGAUUAGGGAAAUUUUCCAGUUCUGGAAAAAAAGCAAGGGAGCUCUAAAUUAUUAAAAAAAAUUAAGUGAAUCGGCUCCGGGUUCAGAUUCGACCCGGAAACGAUUAAGGCCCAAUACUUGGAGCCUGGAGGUGCCUUAAAAAGCACCUCCAGGUAGCGCACUGGUGCUAAAGCGCGCUUCAUGAGAAUUAUACCUGGAGGAUUAGCGCUUUUGCUCGCGUAUUUAGAACUUUGAAAAUUAUAAAAGCAAAUAUGCAAGAAAUUUAAAUAAAUGUGUAGAAUUCAGUUUUCUCACUGUUCUUUGGCAAGAAAGGUUCUCCCACGUUAUGCAUUCUAUUUGUACAUAUAAGACUCAAAGUUAAUAAACAAAUACAACAAUGAAUGUUUAAAUACCUAACCAUGUUAGCCCCAUGAGACUCUGAUGCAGCCUUGAGAUCUGGUUCACUUACGUUAAGUUGACCAACUGUAUUAGAAUUAAUCAUGGUUAAUGCAUUUUCUACUCCAUCUUUUGGUUUUCCAUCUUUAAUUGUAAUGAUAUGCUUAUAUGCAGAUGUUGAGUUCUGACAAUCUGGAUCUUCCUCCUCAGGAUGUUCUGCUGAAACUAUGAUCCGAUGCAUUAAAGACUCAGGUGAUGGGAAUUCUUCCAUAGAGUCGAAGUCCGCUGGUUUGAACAACAAAUCUCCAAAUGUGUCACAUAUCAUCUGUAAAAAAAUUGAUAAUGUCAUCAACAUCAUAAUAUUAUUAAUAUAUAGUCAUUAAUUACAUGACAAAAAGGAAAGAAGUAAAUCCAAACCAUUGCUGUUUUAGCUUGAAGAUCUGGAGUAAGAUGGUUCUCUAAAUUUAGCACAACAGGAUACGGAGACGAAGAAAAGGCAUGUUCUUUUAUGGCUUCCAAACAUUCUAAUAGUUCCACAUGAGAAGUUAAUGUCCUGCAGAUUUUAAUACAAAGAAAUAAACACACGCAUAAUCUCAUAUACAAAAUCUUUAUAUCAAUUGGUAAAAAAACUGAAAUGUUAAGAUGUUUGUUUUAAGUGUAGGUAAAUGAGGGGGAAAUAAUAUUGAACUUACAUUCCAUGAUAAACAUGAACAUCAUCAUUGGUAGAAUUAGGCCAUAUAUCCAACUCAAUCACUCUAACCCCUCUCUGUAAAGCUCUUAUAAUUGGAUCCACCCCGCUAUCACUGUUAAGUUGAUUCCCUGUCAAAUAGGAAUUGUGACCAGUAUACACAUAGUAGUGUGAAAGAGGAGCACACAUAUCAUGAUGAACCUAUCAAAACAAACAAUACACACACAAUUACCAAACAAUGGAUUAUUCCAGUAACGAAAACCGAUCAAAUCAAAACAAACGAACAAGUAGAAAAAUGAAUCUACACGGUUGACCUAAAUUUUAGUCAACAGAAACCACACAAACUACCUGAGAUGAUCUAAUAGGUGGAUUGAGUUCAGAAUCAAAGAGAUACCCAUAGAAAUCCUCUAACAGAAACUCUGAUUUCUCGGAUAGGAUCCUCUCAGCUUCCUCCAAGGCAUCUUCAUCCGUCCUCCCCUGUUGAUCGAUCAGGAACCGCCGGAGAUCGUCUUCAUGCAUUUGAAUCCCAUCAUCGGAGAAUGCUAAGAACGUCUUUUUCACCUCCUCCGGAACGUCGCCGCAUCUAUCUUCCUCCUCACCUCACCUCCGCUCAUUUCAACAACCUCUCUCUCUCUCUCUCUCUCUCUCUCUUUCAAAGUGAUUUUUAUUAGUGUGUGUCGGUAGUCGGUGCGAUCCAGAAAAAAAAAGAUAAUGCUACUACACGUCUUACGUCUACACACGUUUAUGGUGGGUCCGGGGUGUCGCAUUCCCGCCAAACGAAAGUAACAGAAAUUCGUACUGUAUAUUUGUAUUUAUUCAAACUGCAAUCAGGUACCAGUUCCGAAUAGCAUCCGAAUACCCGAAAUCCGUCAUUUACUAACAUUCUAAAUUAAUUUUAAAAUUGAAGAGAAGUAGCAAUAUGAAAAGACGAAUAGGAAUUGAAUUAAUUUUUACCAAGAUUUACCAUGCACAAUUUUCAAAAUGGUUGACUAAUAACCUAACCUUAACCCUAAUUUCGGUGACUCUGAUAUUCUCAAUUCGGUUAUUUGUUGCCUUCUUUUAUUUAUUUAUUUAUUAAUUGUCUUCUUUUGUUUCAUAUCCAGGUUAUUGUUUCACUUAGGAUCGGAUAUGGGUCGAGUUUCCUUUGGAUUUGCUUAGACCCGAACCCGAGUUUUCAAAUCGGGUUCUGGUCAAAACCCGAAAAGGUCAAAAAAUAUUAAACCCGAACCUGGUUUAGAUGUCGGGUUUAGAUUUAAUAAAUUAAUUGAAUAUUUCGCAUAAAAAACCCUGUUGUUUAAAUAAUUUGAAAAUUAUAAUUAAAUAAUUUUUAAAUUUGAUAAAAAUUAAAUAAAAUGGUUCGUGAAGAUGGAAAGGGUUUGUGAAAAUAGAGGGUCCGGUGACGGUGAGAAGAGGUCCGACGACAGCGAGGAGAGGACCGACAACGACGAAGAGAGGGAAAAUGAAAGAGGAAGAGAAGAGGAAAAUAAAAUUAGGGUUUAAAUUUUAGUAUAUAAAAUUCUGAUCAAGGUUUAUAAAAGAUGAAAAAUUUAUAAUUAUGUAUGUUAAAUUUUUUAUAAAGUGUUUUAUAUAAAAUUAUUUAUAUUUUAAUAAUUUUUUUAUAAAUUUCUUCGGGUUUCGGGUGAGUUAGGUUUGGUUCGAGUCAGACUCGACCCCAAAAAAAUCGGGUAAAAAAUAUUCAGGUUCGGGUUGUUCGCAUCGGGUUUCAUGGUCGAAAAUAUCGACCCAAACCCGGACCCACACCCAAUGAAGGUUCAGCUGACUGUCUGACGAACAUUAGUCUGUGAUGGUGAUGAUGACGCAUAAAAUCUACAUUGCCCAGAAUCUUGGUGAAACCAUCUGAAGUGUUGUAAAUACAUAUUCCACCCUUAGCACCCUUUUGUUUAUUAGCUCCCUUAAAAAAUAAAAACUAAUUUUUAUAUGCUUUGAUAUUGCUGUUAUGGUUGAUCGAUUGUCACAUAAUAAGAUUGGAGGUGAACUCAAUUUUAUCUCUAACUCUCUAAAUAAGUAAAAAAACCAUCUGAGUUCAGAUGUCACAUGUGUCAUGGCUUUGAACUAAACUUCUGCACUUGAAUUAGAGAUUAUUGGUUGUUUCUUGACAGACCAAGACAACAAGUUUUAGAGGUUAUUUCUGUACCAAGAUAAUACUAUUCUGAUGAUGUAGUUUAAUGCUUCCGCAGAACUUCAUUUUAUUCUUAUCACAUUCAACCAGCAAAAAAAUAGAAAACCAUGAUAUUUGUACGUUAGAUAAUCCAAAACAAAUUCAAGACAUGUCUUUGAAGAAGUCUUCAUAAUAGUCAUAUGAAUGACGCACUCUAACCUAACCAGUAUACUAUCAAUCAUAGUUAUUAUAGCUUUAAGUGCUUUGGCAAUUCUUCAAGAAACCAAUUCUUUCCAUGACACAAUAGACAACAGAAAUUGAUGUAGUUGUAAUUUAAUGUUUUCGUAAAACUUCGUUUCGAUAAAGUAGACAUUUAAUCUGCAAAUCUAUAGCAAAACAUAAUAAGUAAACAACAAUUCAUAUUUAAAAAACUAUAAAAUGUAAAAAACUAUAAAACAAUAUAUUGUUGAAGCGUGAAAAUAAAAUAUAGUAAAAAAGAAAAUAACAAUUGAUUGAUUGAAUAACAUAUUCUCAGUGAUUUUAUUUUAUCUAUUUUGUUUAAUCUUUUCAUUCUCAAUCAACCUUUUUAGUCUUUUAUUUAAAUUUUCCGAUAUCAUGAAAAAAUGCAUAGAGAAAAAAUAAUACCGGGUGACAUGUAGUAGUGUAAUCUCUCAUUAUCUUUUUGUAACUAUUAUAAUCCGUUGCAUCUGACUGGGCACAGUGUAAACUCUCAGUAAAUGAUUGAAUUAUGUAGCAUCAAACUAAACAUAAUCAUGAAUUAUUUAAGUUUGAUUGAACGACCUAAAUAGAAGCCUGGUGAAGAAACGAAAUAAUUAGUUUGAGGACAUAGAUAGAAGCCUGGUGUAGAAACUUAAAACCUUCGGAUGUGCUUUGAUUUUUUCAAGACUGAAGCAGGACACACGAAGAUCUUGAAUUAUGGUGACUCGAGAUAGAGCUAUCGUACACCAUUCCAGAUCCAAAUACUCGGGUCAAGUCGGUAGUAAGACGAUCUAGGGUCAUCCCUUGACAUUUGUGAACACUCAGUGCCCACGCUAGUAUCAGAGGAAUUUGCCGGCGAACAAUUUUAACUUCACUGCCUUCCAUAAUGUCUCAUUUUUCAACUUCCAAUCCAGAGUCGAACCUAACUGUGGGCACUACACCGUUUGGGUUGUUUUCAGAUGACAAUACCAAACCUACUUUAAAUCCUGUAACUACUCUAGUUGUGUCGUUCACGAGUCCGAUUGCUUAAUGGGUAUUCUUGAUCAGCAUUACUCUAGCACCCUCGCAGAUUUCCAGUUCAUCUGGGGCAAUAUGAUAUUUUAAUUGUUUUAACCAGGGCAUAGAACAUUGGUCUACAACAUUGAACUUCACUACCUCCUUCCCUAAACUUAUAAGACGCUCCUGAUUAACUCUUCUAAUAACGUCAUCUGUUCUUGGAAAUAGAGGGGUUUCAUUAUCAUUUUGGUCACUGCCCCUGUUAACUGAUGCGAUGCCAUGGAGAAAUCUAUUGAAGUUUUUGUUUUCACGAUCAACUUGUCCCCGCCGGAUUCCUUCCAGGAAUUCGAUGAGCUCGGAGUCAGACUGAAGAUAAACGUGAGUUAGUUUCAUCUUAAUAUCGAAUGUAGCUUCCCAGCAAGCAGAUUCGAAAGCGAACUCAUUUCGCGAAUUGGGAGCGUUGAUGGGAGGGAGUUGGAAAAAAUCACCACUAACAAUCAGUUGAAUGCCUCCCCAAAGUAAAGCCUUAUCCCCAUCGUGAUUAGAAUUUCGAAUCGAGACAGAUAUAAACUCCAGAUUAUCAAAAAACUGUUCAUCGAUCAUGCUUAUCUCAUCGAUAACAAGGGCCUUUGCUCUCUUUUAUUACUUUUUAAAACAAAAGAGACAAGUUUUGAUUUUGUCCGUUUCCCUAAACCGACGCCGGCGAAUGAGUAGAGAGUUUGUCCACCUAAAGCACAUGCAGCCACACCAGUAGAUGCAGUCACGAAAACAGAGUUUGGUGGAUGAAUACGUCGGAAUGUGGAGACAGCGUGUUGCAAAAGGAAACUCUUACCGGUACCGGCAGACCUUGUAAUGAACACCGACUUCCUACUUGCAAUCGUAGCAAUAACUUGUUCUUGCUGUGGACUGAGAGCGAUAUCUGAAGAGACAUUGUCAGAGGUAUCGAAAAUGACUCUAGACCUCUUCUUACCGACCGUGUUUUGCCACGCCAUUCUCCGAUUAUCUAUGAACACUCGUAAUUUCUUACAGCCGACGUUCAGGUGUAAACCCAAUAUUUAGACUGGUAAUUUACCUGAUGACAUCUAUUUGUUACUCCAUUAAUCUACAGAUAACCGGUUAACCUAUUAAUCGGUUUUAUCAAUGAGCAUUAAUCGGUUUCAUCGGACAAAUCCAUCAAUCGGUAAAUCGGUUAAAAUCGAAUAUUUUCUUUUAAAGCCGAUUCCCCUCCGAGUGAAGCCCUAAGGUAUUCGUCGACUUUCACAGAAUGCCGUCCAGCAGUUCUUCCUAGUUUCCGUUUUCUUCCAUUUGGCUCUCCCUCCUGAUGAUAAUCGCAACACCGAGAGGAAAUCAGGUAUGGCAUAUUGAAGUACUAGGGUUUCUAUUCACGUAUUAUUUUACCCCUAAAUAAUGAUUAACAUGUUUUCCAGCAAGUGCCGGAGACUGAAGGUGAUCCUGUGGAUCGACUAAAGGUUUUUAUAAACGUUUUGUAAUGAAGGCGAAAGGUUUGGUGAAAACCAGGCUUGUAUAAAAUACCAGGUUUAUUUUGAGGGAUCGACACAGGUAUAAAAUCUUCGUUAAGGGUAAUAGGAUUUAUUUUAAGAUCUGUGUUCGUCAUUCUACGGUGUAUACUGUUAUGGGUUAUAAAUACUGUUAAGGGUUCUAAAACUCUUAUGAGUUCUUCAGUCCGACUAAGAUCCUUCAUCCUCACCUUGUCAAAAAUUAAUAAUACCAAUUUUUUUAGAAAAUUGUAUAGUAAAUUCAUCAGAAAUUGUAAGUUUUCUGAUAGAUAUCAGAUUGACAUGAAAAGAUGGAGUAAAAUAGACAUCCUUUAGGGUUAUGGUGGGAGAGACCACCACAUUCCCUUUGGAUGAUACUAUUUUGCUCAUCCCAUUUGACAGUGAAAUAGAUAUCUCAUCACAAGGUUUGAUGUUUUGAAAAAGAGUUUUAUCGCCACACAAGUGCUCAGAUGUACCUGAGUCGACAAUCCAAAAAUUAUUUGAUAUAUGAGAGUUGAAAACAAAAUUUGAUAUACCUAAAUCAUGGGUUAUUGGUUUAGGAUUGUACUUCUCAGAGUACAAUGGAAAUCCAUGAGGACCAAUAGGGUUGUUAUCUGAUUUUUCUUUGGAAGAUUCCCUACCAGAGCUCACAGGUGAUUUUUCUCUCUCCAGACAGACCAAUCUCUUGAGGUUGUGGCACAGUUGACAGUAACUUUGGGUCUUGGCUUCACUUGAUUUUGGGGAGUAGAGGAUGAAACAUAUUUUCCUUGUUUUUUUCCUUCCGGAUAUCCAUGAAGAACGAAACACAUCUCUUCUGAAUGUCUAAAUACUGAGCAAUGAUGGCAAUAGUAGUUGGUGUUGAUUUGUUUCCCACUCUUGUAGUACAUGGGUUCAGAAGGUGGUGUUGGUCUUUUCUUUGAGUAAACAAAUGAUGGUUGAGAUGUCAUGGGUGCCUUCCCAGUAUAGGAGGGCUCAGAGUUCUUACUGCCUGGUCUGGCAGAAGACGUCCUUGAAAUCAAUAAAGCAUGUGCAGUGGCAUUUUGAUUCCCUUGGAGCCCAUGUUGAGCCUCCUCAUGUGCAAUUAACUGGUAGGUUUUGCUCAGGUUAGGCUGAGUAUCCAUGGCAAGGAUACUAGAUCUGACUUGUCUAAACUCAUCGUUCAUACCCAUUAGAAACUUCCUAACCUUUAAUUUUUCUUCUCUGUUUUUGAUUCUCCCAUUCACAUUACAUUCACACUUCCCACAGUCACAGAUAGGAACCUCUCCAUAGGCCUCUACCUCUCUUCAAGCAGUUUUGAGUUUGGUAUAGAAAGUUGACACAGAAUCACUACCCUGAAAGGUUAUAACAAUUGCAACAUCGAUCAUUGGAUAACUAGUAAACAUGAGUUUCAUUGGAUUGUCUGAAUUGAUCCUUCAGGUCAGUCCACAUAACAGUUACAUCAUCAGUGUACAUGAUCUGUGAUGAUAUCUUUUUAGAAACAGAAGCCCACAACCAUUGUCUGAUCACUCCAUGGCAUAUGAGCCAUGCCUCAAAUUCAGGGGAGUUUUUAUCAGUAGGUUCCUUGAUGGUCCCUAAAACAAAACUAAGUUUUCUCCUAGUGAUAAGAGUUGUGGUGAUUGUUGGAUCGAGGUCCGAAACGAUAAGGGGGGAUAAUAGCUACAUGGUUAAAUGCGGAAUUAUCGAUUAGGCAGGUUAAAUACGGAAUUAUCUGCAAAUACUUGAUACAUAAAUGGUUGAAUAACAAUAAAAAGAUUAUAAUAUUAUAUCUUACAAUAUAAUAUUAUAUAUAUUUAUAUUCUUGUCUUUUCUCUUCAAAGCUUACUACAGUAUAUGAAUACUGAGUCAGCUUAUUAGAUAGUGCUUUAUAAACAAUUGUAGUAUAUAGAUACUAAGUUAUAUUAUAAGUGCACGUUAUAGUAUUAGAGUAAAGGACCAGUUAAGUGGAUAUAAAAUGAUAAGUAAAUAAUUGACCAGAUAACUGGAUAUAUAUGAUAAGUAAAUAUCUGACCAGGUAACUGGCCGAUAUAUAUGAUAAGUAAAUAGUUGACCAGUUAACUGGCUAGAGAUUUGAACAAUAAAUAUAACCUCAGAUACUUGACCAGAUAACUGGAUGAGAGAUCUGCAGAAAGUAGUCAACCUCUAUACCUGACCAGAUAACUGGAAGAUGGAUCUUUUUAAUUAAGUGUUGUUUAGACAAUAAAUAAAACUAAAGUUAACAAAGAACAACACAAAAGAUUUAAUACUGAUUCACCCAAACAAGAGCUAGUCCAGUCCCGACAAACUAUCGGAAUUCACUGGCCUAAAGGUAAUGACAAAAUCUUAGAGUAUCAAGGAAACUCCUAAAAACCUCUCUAAGCUUUAAGACUAUUUCGCUUAGGAACCAGUCUUUUACGGGUAGACUCACACCUUAGAGUAUCAAGGAAACUCUUAAAAACUUUUAACUUUUGCGGGUAAGUUAGUACCUUAGAGUAUCAAAAAACUCUUAAAAACCUCUCUAAACUUUAAGGCUACUUCGCUUAGGAACCAGUUUUUUACGGGUAGACUCACACCUUAGAGUAUUAUGGAACUCUUAAAAACCUCUAACUUUUACGGGUAAGUUAGGACCUUAGAGUAUUAAGGAAUUCUUAAAAACCUCUAACUUUUACGGGUAAGUUAGGACCUUAGAGUAUUAAGGAACUCUUAAAAAAACCUCUCUAUAUCUUUCAAGGUAGAUUCCACCUAAGAGUUUUCCCGGAAACUCUAUAAAACCAAACAAGAGCUUUAUGGUUGAGCUCAAAAACCUUCUCUCACACUUUGGUGAUAUUGAGACAAAUAUCUCAACCAAAGUGGACACACACAAGAGAGGAUUAAAGGAGUGGAAUGUUUAAAGCACACAAAACUUCUUACUUGUAAAGAUGAACAAGAAGGUUAGAAGUAGAAGUUGGAGAGCUUUUGAAGCUUUUAGAAGCUUGGACACUUGAGAGCCUUUGGAAGCUUGGAAACUUGGAAGCAAGAACACUUUGUAGAUCUCAAGAUGAUGAGUGAAAGCUCUUUGAAAUGCUUUGAGUGUGGUGAACGAAAAUGGAGGGUUUGGGCCUCUAUUUAUAGCCUAGGUCAUCACUUGUUCACCUUUGGAUCUUCAAUGGAUGGUUCCUUGAUUUCUCACAAAAGUCUAAGAUUUUGUCUUCCCAAGAAGCUUAAAUAGUAGAAGCUUAAAUAGUAGAAGCUUAAAUAGUAGAAGCUUGCUUUUUGUAGAUAUGAUUUC
This 32525-nucleotide long non-coding RNA is filed under the name Zostera marina. RNAcentral's name for it is "long non-coding RNA (ZMAR_LNC002791)". Lineage: Eukaryota; Viridiplantae; Streptophyta; Magnoliopsida; Alismatales; Zosteraceae. The record is from RNAcentral.